UCAAUGCACGAAUGGUCCCGAUUGAAUU
RNAcentral lists this non-coding RNA (28 nucleotides) under Bombyx mori (domestic silkworm). Lineage: Eukaryota; Metazoa; Arthropoda; Insecta; Lepidoptera; Bombycidae. The record is from RNAcentral.